This 119-nucleotide ribosomal RNA is filed under the name Triticum aestivum (bread wheat). Lineage: Eukaryota; Viridiplantae; Streptophyta; Magnoliopsida; Poales; Poaceae. The record is from RNAcentral.
GGAUGCGAUCAUACCAGCACUAAAGCACCGGAUCCCAUUAGAACUCCGAAGUUAAGCGUGCUUGGGCGAGAGUAGUACUAGGAUGGGUGACCUCCUGGGAAGUCCUCGUGUUGCUUUUC